Molecule: ribosomal RNA, 404 nt
Filed under: uncultured bacterium
Lineage: Bacteria
Description: bacterial SSU rRNA
Rfam family: Bacterial small subunit ribosomal RNA
Source: RNAcentral
UAGGGAAUAUUGCUUAAUGGGCGAAAGCCUGAAGCAGCAACGCCGCGUGUGUGAAGAAGGCCUUCGGGUUGUAAAACACUUUUUGAGGGGAUGAGGAAGGACAGUACCCUCAGAAUAAGCCUCGGCUAACUGCGUGCCAGCAGCCGCGGUAAAACGUAGGAGGCGCGCGUUAUCCGGAUUUACUGGGCGUAAAGCGCGUGCAGGCGGCACGGCAAGUUGGAUGUGAAAGCUCCCGGCUUAACUGGGAGAGGUCGUUCAAAACUGCCGAGGUAGAGUGCGGGAGAGGGAGGUGGAAUUCCGGGUGUAGUGGUGAAAUGCGUAGAUAUCAGGAGGAACACCAGUGACGAAAGCGGCCUCCUGGUCCGCAACUGACGCUCAGACGCGAAAGCUAGGGUAGCAAACGG